This 497-nucleotide ribosomal RNA is filed under the name uncultured bacterium. RNAcentral's name for it is "partial 16S ribosomal RNA". It matches the Rfam family "Bacterial small subunit ribosomal RNA", at positions 28 to 507 of the family's 1533-position model. The record is from RNAcentral.
GAUGAACGCUGGCGGCGUGCCUAAUACAUGCGAGUCGAGCGAACAGACGAGGAGCUUGCUCCUCUGACGUUAGCGGCGGACGGGUGAGUAACACGUGAAUAACCUACCUAUAAGACUGGGAUAACUUCGGGAAACCGGAGCUAAUACCGGAUAAUAUAUUGAACCGCAUGGUUCAAUAGUGAAAUACGGUUUUGCUGUCACUUAUAGAUGGAUCCGCGCCGCAUUAGCUAGUUGGUAAGGUAACGGCUUACCAAGGCAACGAUGCGUAGCCGACCUGAGAGGGUGAUCGGCCACACUGGAACUGAGACACGGUCCAGACUCCUGCGGGAGGCAGCAGUAGGGAAUCUUCCGCAAUGGGCGAAAGCCUGACGGAGCAACGCGGCGUGAGUGAUGAAGGUCUUCGGAUCGUAAAACUCUGUUAUUAGGGAAGAACAAAUGUGUAAGUAACUAUGCACGUCUUGACGGUACCUAAUCAGAAAGCCACGGCUAACUACGUG